GAUGAACGCUGGCGGCGUGCCUAAUACAUGCAAGUCGAGCGAACGGACGAGAAGCUUGCUUCUCUGAUGUUAGCGGCGGACGGGUGAGUAACACGUGGAUAACCUACCUAUAAGACUGGGAUAACUUCGGGAAACCGGAGCUAAUACCGGAUAAUAUUUUGAACCGCAUGGUUCAAAAGUGAAAGACGGUCUUGCUGUCACUUAUAGAUGGAUCCGCGCUGCAUUAGCUAGUUGGUAAGGUAACGGCUUACCAAGGCAACGAUGCAUAGCCGACCUGAGAGGGUGAUCGGCCACACUGGAACUGAGACACGGUCCAGACUCCUACGGGAGGCAGCAGUAGGGAAUCUUCCGCAAUGGGCGAAAGCCUGACGGAGCAACGCCGCGUGAGUGAUGAAGGUCUUCGGAUCGUAAAACUCUGUUAUUAGGGAAGAACAUAUGUGUAAGUAACUGUGCACAUCUUGACGGUACCUAAUCAGAAAGCCACGGCUAACUACGUGCCAGCAGCCGCGGUAAUACGUAGGGGCAAGCGUUAUCCGGAAUUAUUGGGCGUAAAGCGCGCGUAGGCGGUUUUUUAAGUCUGAUGUGAAAGCCCACGGCUCAACCGUGGAGGGUCAUUGGAAACUGGAAAACUUGAGUGCAGAAGAGGAAAGUGGAAUUCCAUGUGUAGCGGUGAAAUGCGCAGAGAUAUGGAGGAACACCAGUGGCGAAGGCGACUUUCUGGUCUGUAACUGACGCUGAUGUGCGAAAGCGUGGGGAUCAAACAGGAUUAGAUACCCUGGUAGUCCACGCCGUAAACGAUGAGUGCUAAGUGUUAGGGGGUUUCCGCCCCUUAGUGCUGCAGCUAACGCAUUAAGCACUCCGCCUGGGGAGUACGACCGCAAGGUUGAAACUCAAAGGAAUUGACGGGGACCCGCACAAGCGGUGGAGCAUGUGGUUUAAUUCGAAGCAACGCGAAGAACCUUACCAAAUCUUGACAUCCUUUGACAACUCUAGAGAUAGAGCUUUCCCCUUCGGGGGACAAAGUGACAGGUGGUGCAUGGUUGUCGUCAGCUCGUGUCGUGAGAUGUUGGGUUAAGUCCCGCAACGAGCGCAACCCUUAAGCUUAGUUGCCAUCAUUAAGUUGGGCACUCUAAGUUGACUGCCGGUGACAAACCGGAGGAAGGUGGGGAUGACGUCAAAUCAUCAUGCCCCUUAUGAUUUGGGCUACACACGUGCUACAAUGGACAAUACAAAGGGCAGCGAAACCGCGAGGUCAAGCAAAUCCCAUAAAGUUGUUCUCAGUUCGGAUUGUAGUCUGCAACUCGACUACAUGAAGCUGGAAUCGCUAGUAAUCGUAGAUCAGCAUGCUACGGUGAAUACGUUCCCGGGUCU
Molecule: ribosomal RNA, 1371 nt
Filed under: uncultured bacterium
Lineage: Bacteria
Description: bacterial SSU rRNA
Rfam family: Bacterial small subunit ribosomal RNA
Source: RNAcentral